GUGCUCGCUUCGGCAGCACAUAUACUAAAAUUGGAACGAUACAGAGAAGAUUAGCAUGGCCCCUGCGCAAGGAGUUGACAAGGCUCUAUUUGAAAUCCAAAGAAAGAAG
Mustela lutreola (European mink) is the source of this 109-nucleotide small nuclear RNA. Lineage: Eukaryota; Metazoa; Chordata; Mammalia; Carnivora; Mustelidae. The record is from RefSeq and is a predicted model, not a curated record.